GACGAACGCUGGCGGCGUGCUUAACACAUGCAAGUCGAGCGGUAAGGCCCUUUCGGGGUACGACGAGCGGCGAACGGGUGAGUAACACGUGGGUGACCUGCCCUCCAGCUCUGGGAGUAAGCCUGGGAAACCGGGUACUAAUACCGGAUAUGACUCCAUGACGCAUGUUGUGGGGUGGAAAGCCUUGUGCGGCUGAGGAUGGGCCCGCGGCCUAUCAGCUUGUUGGUGGGGUGAUGGCCUACCAAGGCGACGACGGGUAGCCGACCUGAGAGGGCGACCGGCCACACUGGGACUGAGACACGGCCCAGACUCCUACGGGAGGCAGCAGUGGGGAAUCUUGCGCAAUGGGCGAAAGCCUGACGCAGCGACGCCGCGUGAGGGAUGACGGCCUGGUUGUAACC
Molecule: ribosomal RNA, 401 nt
Filed under: uncultured bacterium
Lineage: Bacteria
Description: bacterial SSU rRNA
Rfam family: Bacterial small subunit ribosomal RNA
Source: RNAcentral